RNAcentral lists this ribosomal RNA (1191 nucleotides) under Triticum aestivum (bread wheat). Its description in RNAcentral is "partial small subunit ribosomal RNA". Lineage: Eukaryota; Viridiplantae; Streptophyta; Magnoliopsida; Poales; Poaceae. The record is from RNAcentral.
AUGGGUGAAGUGCCAGUGCUUUUGCAGGGGGCCCAUGACGCCGGGCACCGUUGCCACCUAUUUUUGAAACCAAAUACUAAGCAUGAUUAUCGGCCUUUCAGACUUCGAACCAUAAAGAAAACAUGGCCAAUACACAAUCAUUUCCUUGCUUACCUUGACGCUUAUGGACUACAAGGUUUUGCUAGGCUCACAUCAUGCGACGACCAAGUACGUUCGGACCCAUCCCUUUUGACAUCCCUCGUUGACCGGUGGAGACCUGAAACCCACACCUUUCACUUUCGUUUUGGGGAGCUUGCACCUACACUGAAAGAUGUUUCUAUGAUCACUGCUCUACCAAUUAGAGGUGAGCCGGUAGUCUCUCCACGAGUGUCUCCAUCUUGGGCAUUAGAUAUAGCAGCCCGUCUUGGGAUGGAAAUGCCAGAAUCACAACGUUCUGGUAACCCUCGGGGCAUCCCACUCGUCUGGCUUCGUGAUAACUUUCUUAAUUUAUCUAGCUUCGCCAAUGAGGAGACGAGAAAAAGACAUCUGUUUGCAUAUUUGUUGUGGCUCCUCGGGAAUCUAUUUCCAAAUUCACAUGGGGACGUUGUUGUCCCUGGUCUCAUCUACAUUGCAGAGAAUAUGGUAGAUGAACCUUUACCCGAGCAGCCAAAAUACAGCUUCGGUUCUGCCAUGCUAUCUCAUACAUACAGAGGCUUGUGUGAUGCCACGCAAAAAACCUCUUUCGCACAAAAAGCUCCAUUACUUUGUGUCGCCUAUGAGUUUCUACAGUUGUGGUCCUGGGAAUACCUCCCUGUAGGACGACCUCGUAUAGUACAACCCAUAUACCCAUAUGACUUUGGCGAGGGUGCUAGCGCAACUAUGGCCACCAGGUGGACAAAGGCACGGAAACGUUGGUCUCCAGAUAUUGCGAAAAAUUGUUACCCUAUGUACCACCAGCAGUUUGAGAUACUUGAUGAGGCAGAAGUCACAUGGAACCCGUGGACUCAGGACCAGCUAAAAUUGGUCUUUGAUGCUCGACACUUCACACCAGGCAUGUUGACCGAUAGUGCAUUCUGGCUGACUCGCUGCAACUUAUUGUUCCUGUGGUGUGUUGAACCUUACAACCCAGAGCGUGUAAUGAGACAGUUCGGUCUCUAUCAAGAAAUUCCACCACCUUUUCCCAGACGUAUCGAUGAGGAAACACAUAAGUAA